CGAACGCUGGCGGCGUGCUUCACACAUGCAAGUCGAACGCUGAAGCUUGGUGCUUGCACUGGGUGGAUGAGUGGCGAACGGGUGAGUAAUACGUGAGUAACCUGCCCUUGACUCUGGGAUAAGCCUGGGAAACUGGGUCUAAUACUGGAUACGACAUGUCACCGCAUGGUGGUGUGUGGAAAGGGUUUUACUGGUUUUGGAUGGGCUCACGGCCUAUCAGCUUGUUGGUGGGGUAAUGGCUCACCAAGGCGACGACGGGUAGCCGGCCUGAGAGGGUGACCGGCCACACUGGGACUGAGACACGGCCCAGACUCCUACGGGAGGCAGCAGUGGGGAAUAUUGCACAAUGGGCGGAAGCCUGAUGCAGCGACGCCGCGUGAGGGAUGACGGCCUUCGGGUUGUAAACCUCUUUCAGCACGGAAGAAGCGAAAGUGACGGUACGUGCAGAAGAAGCGCCGGCUAACUACGUG
This 470-nucleotide ribosomal RNA is filed under the name uncultured bacterium. RNAcentral describes it as "partial 16S ribosomal RNA". It matches the Rfam family "Bacterial small subunit ribosomal RNA", at positions 30 to 507 of the family's 1533-position model. The record is from RNAcentral.